GAUAUGUUCCUUAGAGAUUUUUGAUACUAGUUCUUUAAAUAAUAUGUCAUUUGCAAAUAUCUUCUCCCAUUCUGUCAGUUCAGUGACAAUUUAAAUAUG
Mustela erminea (ermine) is the source of this 99-nucleotide long non-coding RNA. RefSeq lists it as uncharacterized. Lineage: Eukaryota; Metazoa; Chordata; Mammalia; Carnivora; Mustelidae. The record is from RefSeq and is a predicted model, not a curated record. The transcript has 3 exons.